GUUUUUCGCUCAUAGAUGAGUCCGCGUGAGAUUAGCUAGUUGGUGAGGUAACGGCUCACCAAGGCGACGAUCUCUAACUGGUCUGAGAGGAUGAUCAGUCACACUGGAACUGAGACACGGUCCAGACUCCUACGGGAGGCAGCAGUAGGGAAUAUUGCACAAUGGAGGAAACUCUGAUGCAGCGACGCCGCGUGAGUGAUGAAGGCUUUCGGGUCGUAAAGCUCUGUCGCAGGGGAAUAACACAAUG
RNAcentral lists this ribosomal RNA (247 nucleotides) under uncultured Bdellovibrio sp. RNAcentral describes it as "partial 16S ribosomal RNA". It matches the Rfam family "Bacterial small subunit ribosomal RNA", at positions 210 to 456 of the family's 1533-position model. The record is from RNAcentral. Lineage: Bacteria; Pseudomonadati; Bdellovibrionota; Bdellovibrionia; Bdellovibrionales; Pseudobdellovibrionaceae.